GGAAUAAUACUUUAAAAUAAAAGUUUUGAUUUGCAGUUAUAGAAUAGGGUUAAAUCCCUUUAUUCC
This 66-nucleotide transfer RNA is filed under the name Callochiton steinenii. RNAcentral's name for it is "tRNA-Ala". The record is from RNAcentral. Lineage: Eukaryota; Metazoa; Mollusca; Polyplacophora; Chitonida; Callochitonidae.